CUCUUUUUGAUAAGGAAGGGUGGAAACGCUGCUCAUUAAGAAGUAAACGUGCUUUCACCUCAGUCUCCAAAAGUCUCCAGUAACACCAGAAAAUGUCUUUAGGUUUGUUGCUAGUCACUU
This is a long non-coding RNA of Melanotaenia boesemani (Boeseman's rainbowfish), 120 nucleotides long. RefSeq lists it as uncharacterized. NCBI's taxonomy places the organism in Eukaryota, Metazoa, Chordata, Actinopteri, Atheriniformes, Melanotaeniidae. The transcript is spliced from 3 exons. The record is from RefSeq and is a predicted model, not a curated record.